Molecule: ribosomal RNA, 405 nt
Filed under: uncultured bacterium
Lineage: Bacteria
Description: partial 16S ribosomal RNA
Rfam family: Bacterial small subunit ribosomal RNA
Source: RNAcentral
AUUGAACGCUAGCGGCAUGCCUUACACAUGCAAGUCGAACGAGUGGCGAACGCGUGAGUAAUGUCUCGGACCGUGCCCCGUCGUGGGGGAUAACUACCCGCAACGUAGCUAUUACCUCAUACUCUUGGCGCGGCCUAUAUCGGAUUAGCUAGUUGGGUGGGUAACGGCUUACCAAGGCGACGAUCCGUAGCUGGUUUGAGAGGACGACCAUCCACACUGGAACUGAGAGACGGGCCAGACUCCGACGGGAGGCAGCAGUGGGGAAUUUUGGACAAUGGGGGCAACCCUGAUCCAGCCAUACCGCGUGUGCGAUGAAGGCCUUCGGGGUGUAAAGCACUUUGGGCAGGAAAGCGGUACCUGAAGAAUAAGCACCGGCUAACUACGUGCCAGCAGCCGCGGUAAUAC